UGUAUCCUUUUAUAAAGAUAAAAAUUAAAGAAAGAUAAAGAUUUUUGAUAAUAUAAAUAAUUUAUAUUUUUAUGAAAAUCUGUCAUAUAUAUCGUCUGGUAAUAUUAGUACUGUUUGUUCGAUAAAUAAAUUCGUGAUAUCAUAUAUUAGAACUAAAUAUAUAUCAAAAUUAUGACAAUUAAAAUAAUUAAAAGUAAUAUUGUUAACAGGUGGAAAUGGACAAUGCAUAAAUAUUCGACAAUUAUAAUGGAAAUUAUAAUGGUCUAAUCUCGUGGUUUAUGUUCUAAAAACUAUAAAUACUGUGAUGGAAUAUUUAAAGAACUUGGUGAAAAAAGAAAAUUCAUGAACCGAAGCACAUGUAAACUUAUUACGGGCACAAUAGUUCAAUUUUUUUCUAUAGAAGAUAAAGUUGAGAUAAAGGUAAUAUCGUGUGGAUUUGUUCAAUUGCCAUUAAUAAAUUUGUAAUAAUUUGUAAUGAAAUGACAAUACUCGUUUCAUUAAAAGAAUCCAACUGCAUUGUGUUUUCUUGUCAAAAUGGUGAAGGAAGUUUUGACUCUAAUCUUCUUAAAUGUAAAAAAUACAUCCAAUAUGCCUGUCACUGCACACUGUCAACGUACACAGGCAACCAUAAGAUGUUAUGCAGAUGCAUUAACUUUAAAGCUAUUCUAUUCUAUCAUCUUUAAAUGUAAUGAAAGAGAGCAAGAAAUUUAGUUACCAGAUUUAGGAACUUUUGGUCCUUUGGUACAACAUGUAUCUAAAAAUAUAAUGACAGUAAAAUACUAAGCUUGGAUUAAACAUCCAUCAGGUUAAAAUAUUCAUUUUUCUCUUUUCAUUAGAAAAUUAAAACAGACAGAAUUUAACAUCAUCAAUAUUGUCUUUCUUCUAUGAUUAUAGUAAACAAGAAUUUAAAGUUGUGAAUAUUAGUUUAGAUGGAAAUGAAUUAAGCGUAUCAAAAGAACAUUAACAUUAACGUAUUACGUAACAGGAUGAACAAGAUAAAAUAGAUUUCGAUAAUCUAACUACGGAUGAUGCAGAUACACAUUUCGAGAUGGUACUUUAACAAUUGAAAGUUUAGAUGGAAAUAAAUUAUAUUUAGAUUCAACGACUUAAUUUAGAAUGUAUACAAUUGUAUCACAUAGUGUCGUUGAAAAUUUUGAAUCGGAUGUGAUCGUUUCUUAUUAGAGGAGAAUAUGAUAUCUAUCUAAUAUAUUUUUAUAUGUUUAAUAUAUAUUCAAUGAUAGGCAAUGACAGAGUGAAAUUAGAUAGAAGUUUGAAAAUGAUAUGAUAAACAAUACGUAAUUGAACAAAUGAGUGAUAAAAAAAAAUUGAAGAUAAAUUUAUAAGCGAAAAUAUAUAUAAAUCUGAUGAUAUCUUCGUUAACAAUAUUCCUGUGUAUUUAGAAACAUUGAAAAAAAAGAAAAAAAAAGAAGGAAGUGCAAUAUAGUACUAGCAAUUUGAAAAAUAAUUUGAUAAGGAAGAGGUAAAAGAGACCAAAGCUGAAA
Molecule: long non-coding RNA, 1502 nt
Organism: Apis mellifera (honey bee)
Lineage: Eukaryota; Metazoa; Arthropoda; Insecta; Hymenoptera; Apidae
Exons: 5
Source: RefSeq, a predicted model, not a curated record